UACGAACUGUGCGAACGUUAUUCGGAAUCACUGGGCUUACAGGGUGCGUAGGCGGCUUGUUAAGUAGGGUGUGAAAGCCCCCGGCUCAACCGGGGAAUUGCGCCCUAAACUGGCGAGCUAGAGUGAGAUAGGGGUAUGUGGAACUUCCGGUGGAGCGGUGAAAUGCGUUGAUAUCGGAAGGAACGCCGGUGGCGAAAGCGACAUACUGGAUCUUGUCUGACGCUGAGGCACGAAAGCCAGGGGAGCGAACGGG
This 253-nucleotide ribosomal RNA is filed under the name uncultured bacterium. RNAcentral's name for it is "partial 16S ribosomal RNA". It matches the Rfam family "Bacterial small subunit ribosomal RNA", at positions 524 to 776 of the family's 1533-position model. The record is from RNAcentral.